GGGUCGAUACCAAAGCGGUCAACUGGGGUGGACUGUAAAUCCACUGGCUUUGCCUUCGCAGGUUCGAAUCCUGCUCGGCCCA
This 82-nucleotide transfer RNA is filed under the name Candidatus Magasanikbacteria bacterium CG_4_10_14_0_2_um_filter_41_10. RNAcentral's name for it is "tRNA-Tyr". It matches the Rfam family "tRNA". From Rfam's summary of the family: Transfer RNA (tRNA) molecules are approximately 80 nucleotides in length. RNAcentral also lists the same sequence under 1 other name. The record is from RNAcentral. Lineage: Bacteria; Candidatus Magasanikiibacteriota.